UACGGAGGGUGCAAGCGUUGUUCGGAAUUACUGGGCGUAAAGCGCGCGUAGGCGGUUUGCUCAGUCAGAUGUGAAAGUCCACGGCUCAACCGUGGAAGUGCAUUUGAAACUGGCAGACUUGAGUAUUGGAAAGGGUGGUGGAAUUCCCGGUGUAAAGGUGAAAUUCGUAGAUAUCGGGAGGAAUACCGAUGGCGAAGGCGACCACCUGGCCAAAUACUGACGCUAAGGUGCGAAAGCGUAGGAAGCAAACAGG
This 253-nucleotide ribosomal RNA is filed under the name uncultured bacterium. RNAcentral describes it as "partial 16S ribosomal RNA". It matches the Rfam family "Bacterial small subunit ribosomal RNA", at positions 524 to 776 of the family's 1533-position model. The record is from RNAcentral.